This 494-nucleotide ribosomal RNA is filed under the name uncultured bacterium. RNAcentral's name for it is "partial 16S ribosomal RNA". It matches the Rfam family "Bacterial small subunit ribosomal RNA", at positions 28 to 507 of the family's 1533-position model. The record is from RNAcentral.
GACGAACGCUGGCGGCGUGCUUAACACAUGCAAGUCGAACGGUGAAGCGCCUUCCUUUUUGGUGGGUGUGGAUGAGUGGCGAACGGGUGAGUAACACGUGAGUAACCUGCCCCCUUCUUCUGGAUAACCGCAUGAAAGUGUGGCUAAUACGGGAUAUUCUGGGUCUGUCGCAUGAUGGGUCUGGGAAAGAUAUUGUUUCGGUGGGAGAUGGGCUCGCGGCCUAUCAGCUUGUUGGUGGGGUGAUGGCCUACCAAGGCGGUGACGGGUAGCCGGCCUGAGAGGGUGGACGGUCACACUGGGACUGAGACACGGCCCAGACUCCUACGGGAGGCAGCAGUGGGGAAUAUUGCACAAUGGGCGCAAGCCUGAUGCAGCGACGCCGCGUGAGGGAUGGAGGCCUUCGGGUUGUGAACCUCUUUCGCCAGUGAAGCAGGCCUGCCUCGUUUGUGGGUGGGUUGACGGCAGCUGGAUAAGAAGCGCCGGCUAACUACGUG